UUCCCACCCGAUGUGGGAUUACUAGCAGGACCCCACAGAUCAGAAUGCACAUAUUCAAGUAUGCUUUUAGCCUUAUGCGUACUGGUGGAAAACGACACUCUAUGGUGCUUCCCAAGCACACAGUGAUCACAGAACGAUAGGUCAGACACACAGUCAUUACCAAAUGCACCUUUUUCAUUAAGUAGUUUAAGUCCUUUAAUGCUUACGUGUGCAAGCCUACUAUGCCAUGUGUGUGUGUGAUCGAUUUUGGCGGAAGAAAUAGAGGGGUUUGAUCCUUUAAUCACUUCCCCAGUAGUGAUAUAAAUGUCGUUUUUCUUGAUUCCCUUAAUAGAGAUUAAUGCACCCUUCAUCAUUUUAAACAUACUGUUUUCAAUUUUACCGGUGAAGUUGUCUUUCUCAAGUCUUCCUACUGAAAUUAAAUUCCUAGAUAAUUCCGGAAUAUAUCUAACUUCUUUUAACACGUACACAAAGCCUGUGUUAAAUUUUAUCUUUAUAUCUCCAAUUCCAGCAAUUGUAUAGGAGAAGUUAUCACACAGAACUACUUGUCCAUCAUUAGAUCCUUGCAAGUUUUCAAACCAGUUCUUUUCAGAUGUCACAUGAAAAGACGCACCAGAAUCUAAUAUCCAUUCAUGCAUGUGAGAAUUAGUUGUUAAGUUUAAUUCAGUAGUGUAUGCGACUGGACUAGUGAUCACAUAGACUUCACCGUUUUCAGUAUCGGAGGUAGAGGAUAACACAUUUACCUCAUCUCUUUCCUUAAUCUUCUGUUUUCCUUUUUCUUUAUGACAGUCUUUUAUAAAAUGCCCUGUGCCUCCACAGCCAUAGCAUUUUCUACCCUUAGUUCUCGACUUUGAUCUAGGUCUACCAUUCCCCUUCUUUUUCCAACUAUUACUACUUGAUUCACCACUACUUUGGUAUCCAUCAUGACUAGCUUGCCUAAAUUGUGUUCUACCCCGCAUCAUAUGCAGUUCUCCACUCCUCCUAUCCUGUUUUUCAGCCUUCAUUUCCAUCUCUUUACUUCUAAGAGAAUCUACGACAAUUUCAGGUGUUAGCGUGUCCCUACCAUACUUAAUAGCAUUUUUAACUUCUUUAUAAGAGUCCGGGAUUGAAUUGAGCAAGAUAAUGGCCUUAUAGGUUUCAGACACGGCUUCGUCACAAUUGACAAUAUCUUGCACCAAUUUAUUAAAUACAUCUAGAUUGUCGUCGAGAUCCUUUGAAGGAUCCAUUUUAAAGCUGAAGAAUCGUUCGAGUAGGUAGAGUUUAUUUGGUGUAGAUUUAAGCAAGUAUAAGUCUUCUAGUCUUUUCCAAAGUUCUUUGGUAGUUUUUAGUUUUCCCACUUUUCUUAAGACGGCGUCAGACAAGUGUAAUAUUAUUGAGGUAUAGGCAAGCUCAUCGGCUUCCUCUUUUUGUUCUUUUGAGAUAUCAGGUGCAAAAUUGCCUUCGAUGGCUUUUGACACCUUUUGUUGGACUAGUAUGCCUCUCAUCUUUUGUUGCCAGAUAGAGAAGUCCCCUUUACCGUUAAAAAUUUCCAAAUCAAAAUUAUGUGUUGUCAUUGGUUAACACCCUAAUUAAACCACACGAAGUAGUAUUGGGAAACGUGAUAAGGUAAUGUCUUGUUAAUUAUUAGCAAAGGUAAUAAUGAACCUAAACGCUACGUCCACCAAGGAAUAACAAGCACUUUAAAUUAAAAGAACAAAUACUUAAUUAACGCAAGUAAUCCUAAUUCUAGCACAUGCAAUGGUUACCCCUUCACGGUAACCCCAAAACCUAACGAUCACCCCACACGAUGAUCUUGCUAUUGCUGAAUUUAAAUGGAUUAAGCCAAUUUACCAGAGCGGACCUAUCUGAGUCCGUAAAGUGGAGAAAAACGAGCUUGCUGUUGAAUUUCAAUCGGCGUCGUACCAAAGGGCAAAAUCGUCCAACUUUUUCUGUGUAACCUGAAACACAAAACAAAGUAUAUCAGCGCGUUCAGGAGAUCGAAACAAACAAGUUACCUGAAGACUGCGUCGUCGGAAAACCGCCCACGAGCCACCGCCGGCGGCCCACGCGCCGCCUGUCCCGGAGCGCCUCGGCCUGCUGAUGAUGGGUAUGGCCUCCGUUUGUCCAACCGAGCUUUGGUUUGUGAGUAAUUGCAAAUUUUCAAAUUCGAGUUCUAAGUUGAAAGUGUGAAAAUCAGCCGAUUUUGAGCCUUUUUUUGCCACCCAAGCUCUGAUACCAGAUGUUAGGACCUUCCUC
This 2232-nucleotide long non-coding RNA is filed under the name Olea europaea subsp. europaea. The record is from RNAcentral. Lineage: Eukaryota; Viridiplantae; Streptophyta; Magnoliopsida; Lamiales; Oleaceae.